Molecule: ribosomal RNA, 429 nt
Filed under: Pseudomonadota bacterium
Lineage: Bacteria; Pseudomonadati; Pseudomonadota
Description: Proteobacteria bacterium partial 16S ribosomal RNA
Rfam family: Bacterial small subunit ribosomal RNA
Source: RNAcentral
UGGGGAAUAUUGGACAAUGGGCGAAAGCCUGAUCCAGCCAUGCCGCGUGUGUGAAGAAGGUCUUCGGAUUGUACAGCACUUUAAGUUGGGAGGAAGGGCAGUAAGCGAAUACCUUGCUGUUUUGACGUUACCGACAGAAUAAGCACCGGCUAACUCUGUGCCAGCAGCCGCGGCAAUACAGAGGGUGCAAGCGUUAAUCGGAAUUACUGGGCGUAAAGCGCGCGUAGGUGGUUCGUUAAGUUGAAUGUGAAAGCCCCGGGCUCAACCUGGGAACUGCAUCCAAAACUGGCGAGCUAGAGUAGGGCAGAGGGUGGUGGAAUUUCCUGUGUAGCGGUGAAAUGCGUAGAUAUAGGAAGGAACACCAGUGGCAAAGGCGACCACCUGGGCUCAUACUGACACUGAGGUGCGAAAGCGUGGGGAGCAAACAGG